RNAcentral lists this ribosomal RNA (240 nucleotides) under uncultured Glomus. Its description in RNAcentral is "partial 18S rRNA". It matches the Rfam family "Eukaryotic small subunit ribosomal RNA", at positions 548 to 785 of the family's 1831-position model. The record is from RNAcentral. Lineage: Eukaryota; Fungi; Glomeromycota; Glomeromycetes; Glomerales; Glomeraceae.
UUGGAGGGCAAGUCUGGUGCCAGCAGCCGCGGUAAUUCCAGCUCCAAUAGCGUAUAUUAAAGUUGUUGCAGUUAAAAAGCUCGUAGUUGAAUUUCGGGAUCAGAUUGUCGGUCGUGCCUCGGUACGCACUGGCAUUAUUGGUUCCUACCUUCUGAAGAACCGCGAUGUGUAUGUCCUUUAUUGGGUGUGCCGGGGAGCCAGGACCAUUACCUUGAAAAAAUUAGAGUGUUUAAAGCAGGC